UCACUUUGGCAGUGCACAUACUAAAACUGGAAUGGUACAGAGAAGAAGGGUAUAGUCCCUGUACAAGGAAGAUAUGCAAAUCUGUGAUGCAUUCCAUAUUUUU
Dipodomys ordii (Ord's kangaroo rat) is the source of this 103-nucleotide small nuclear RNA. The record is from Ensembl. NCBI's taxonomy places the organism in Eukaryota, Metazoa, Chordata, Mammalia, Rodentia, Heteromyidae.